Cydia pomonella (codling moth) is the source of this 153-nucleotide long non-coding RNA. RefSeq lists it as uncharacterized. The record is from RefSeq and is a predicted model, not a curated record. NCBI's taxonomy places the organism in Eukaryota, Metazoa, Arthropoda, Insecta, Lepidoptera, Tortricidae. The transcript has 2 exons.
GUCGGCAACGCGCAUGUAACUCCUCUGGAGUUGCAGGCGUACAUAGGCUACGGAGACUGCUUACCAUCAGGCGGGCCGUAUGCUUGUUUGCCACGGCCGGGCCGUAUUAGUUUUGAAAGAUAUAUCUAACGACACUCCACACUAAAGGGUUGA